This 370-nucleotide ribosomal RNA is filed under the name uncultured bacterium. RNAcentral's name for it is "bacterial SSU rRNA". It matches the Rfam family "Bacterial small subunit ribosomal RNA", at positions 527 to 896 of the family's 1533-position model. The record is from RNAcentral.
GGAGGGUGCAAGCGUUAWUCGGAAUUACUGGGCGUAAAGCGCACGCWGGCGGUUUGUUAAGUCAGAUGUGAAAUCCCCGGGCUCAACCUGGGAACUGCAUCUGAUACUGGCAAGCUUGAGUCUCGUAGAGGGGGGUAGAAUUCCAGGUGUAGCGGUGAAAUGCGUAGAGAUCUGGAGGAAUACCGGUGGCGAAGGCGGCCCCCUGGACGAAGACUGACGCUCAGGUGCGAAAGCGUGGGGAGCAAACAGGAUUAGAUACCCUGGUAGUCCACGCCGUAAACGAUGUCGACUUGGAGGUUGUGCCCUUGAGGCGUGGCUUCCGGAGCUAACGCGUUAAGUCGACCGCCUGGGGAGUACGGCCGCAAGGUUA